AUGGCAAAGGAUAAGACGACGAAACCGGAGAAGACAAAGAAGGGGAAGAAGAUGCGGAGCUCCAAAGUCGCCCUUCCACGGGGCUGGAUCCAUGGUGAUUGCCUCCCGCCGACUACCACGGCGGAAGAUCUUGGCAGACUCGUCAUCAACGAAUUGCUGCCGGAGGGGAGUUGGAGGCUGCCAUACGAGGGAGAGAAGAACCGGGAUUACCUUGGGCUUCAGAUAGCAGAAACAGCAGGACCUCCUCCGUCUUCAAAUGCAACAUUCUUACUUCCUCCAAUUCUUGGGUUGCUUGCAUAA
This 300-nucleotide ribosomal RNA is filed under the name Triticum aestivum (bread wheat). Its description in RNAcentral is "partial small subunit ribosomal RNA". Lineage: Eukaryota; Viridiplantae; Streptophyta; Magnoliopsida; Poales; Poaceae. The record is from RNAcentral.